This 1292-nucleotide ribosomal RNA is filed under the name fermentation metagenome. RNAcentral's name for it is "bacterial LSU rRNA". It matches the Rfam family "Bacterial large subunit ribosomal RNA", at positions 1490 to 2758 of the family's 2925-position model. The record is from RNAcentral.
CCCGGGCGGUGGUUGUCCCGGGGUAAGGGUGUAGGACGCACGGUAGGCAAAUCCGUCGUGCAUAUAGUCUGAGACCUGAUGCCGAGCCGAUUGUGGUGAAGUGGAUGAUCCUAUGCUGUCGAGAAAAGCCUCUAGCGAGUUUCAUGGCGGCCCGUACCCUAAACCGACUCAGGUAGUCAGGUAGAGAAUACCGAGGCGUUCGGGUGAACUAUGGUUAAGGAACUCGGCAAAAUGCCCCCGUAACUUCGGGAGAAGGGGGGCCAUCACUGGUGAGGGAACGUGCUUCCUGAGCUGGGGGUGGCCGCAGAGACCAGCGAGAAGCGACUGUUUACUAAAAACACAGGUCCGUGCGAAGCCGUAAGGCGAUGUAUACGGACUGACGCCUGCCCGGUGCUGGAACGUUAAGGGGACCGGUUAGUGCACUUUCGGGUGUGCGAAGCUGAGAACUUAAGCGCCAGUAAACGGCGGUGGUAACUAUAACCAUCCUAAGGUAGCGAAAUUCCUUGUCGGGUAAGUUCCGACCUGCACGAAUGGCGUAACGACUUCUCGACUGUCUCAACCAUAGGCCCGGUGAAAUUGCACUACGAGUAAAGAUGCUCGUUUCGCGCAGCAGGACGGAAAGACCCCGGGACCUUUACUAUAGUUUGAUAUUGGUGUUCGGUUCGGCUUGUGUAGGAUAGGUGGGAGACUUUGAAGCAGCCACGCCAGUGGUUGUGGAGUCGCCGUUGAAAUACCACUCUGGUCGUGCUGGAUGUCUAACCUGGGUCCGUGAUCCGGAUCAGGGACAGUGUCUGAUGGGUAGUUUAACUGGGGCGGUUGCCUCCUAAAGAGUAACGGAGGCGCCCAAAGGUUCCCUCAGCCUGGUUGGCAAUCAGGUGUUGAGUGUAAGUGCACAAGGGAGCUUGACUGUGAGACCGACGGGUCGAGCAGGGACGAAAGUCGGGACUAGUGAUCCGGCAGUGGCUUGUGGAAGCGCUGUCGCUCAACGGAUAAAAGGUACCCCGGGGAUAACAGGCUGAUCUUCCCCAAGAGUCCAUAUCGACGGGAUGGUUUGGCACCUCGAUGUCGGCUCGUCGCAUCCUGGGGCUGGAGUCGGUCCCAAGGGUUGGGCUGUUCGCCCAUUAAAGCGGUACGCGAGCUGGGUUUAGAACGUCGUGAGACAGUUCGGUCCCUAUCCGCUGUGCGCGUAGGAAUAUUGAGAAGGGCUGUCCCUAGUACGAGAGGACCGGGACGGACGAACCUCUGGUGUGCCAGUUGUCCUGCCAAGGGCAUGGCUGGUUGGCUACGUUCGG